RNAcentral lists this ribosomal RNA (406 nucleotides) under uncultured bacterium. Its description in RNAcentral is "partial 16S ribosomal RNA". It matches the Rfam family "Bacterial small subunit ribosomal RNA", at positions 30 to 526 of the family's 1533-position model. The record is from RNAcentral.
AUUGAACGCUGGCGGCAGGCCUAACACAUGCAAGUCGAACGAGUGGCGGACGGGUGAGUAAUGUCUGGGAAACUGCCCGUUGGAGGGGGAUAACUACUUGAAACGGUAGCUAAUACCGCAUACCAUCGGAUGUGCCCAGAUGGGAUUAGCGGGUGGGUGGGGUAACGGCUCACCUAGGCGACGAUCUCUAGCUGGUCUGAGAGGAUGACCAGCGACGAUGGACAUGAGACCCGUUCCAGCCUCCGACGUGAGGCUGCAGUGGGGACUAUGGAGCAAUGGGAUGAAUCGUGAUGCAGCCAUGCCGCGUGUAUGCAACAGGCCUUCAGGUUGAAAAGUGCUUUCCGCGCCGAGGCGUUACUCGCAGUUGAGGCGCCGGCUAACUCCGUGCCAGCAGCCGCGGUAUAAC